Molecule: transfer RNA, 73 nt
Filed under: Entomophthora muscae
Lineage: Eukaryota; Fungi; Entomophthoromycota; Entomophthoromycetes; Entomophthorales; Entomophthoraceae
Description: tRNA-Phe
Rfam family: tRNA
About the family: Transfer RNA (tRNA) molecules are approximately 80 nucleotides in length. Their secondary structure includes four short double-helical elements and three loops (D, anti-codon, and T loops).
Source: RNAcentral
GCUGCUACAGCUCAGUUGGGAGAGCGUCAGACUGAACAUCUGAAAGUCCCACGUUCAAUCCACGGUGGGCGCA